Molecule: transfer RNA, 70 nt
Filed under: Epinephelus akaara x Epinephelus tukula
Lineage: Eukaryota; Metazoa; Chordata; Actinopteri; Perciformes; Serranidae
Description: tRNA-Ala
Rfam family: tRNA
About the family: Transfer RNA (tRNA) molecules are approximately 80 nucleotides in length.
Source: RNAcentral
AAAGCUUUAGCUUAAUUAAAGCACCUGUUUUGCAUACAGGAGAUGUGGGUUAACGUCCCGCAAGUUUUAU